UCCGGAUUAAAGAUAAAUGAAACUGUAGAAACUGUAAUAAUUAUGAGUGAAUCGACCAGAUUCCAGUGUUGGCAUUUCUUCUGCAACUUGAUGGCAACACCUUUGACCAAUCACACUUGAAGCACUUUUUGCACUUACUACAGGUUUUUCCUUAUGUCUGAAUUCUUGCUUGUGUUGUACGUCGCUUUGGACAAAAGCGUCUGCCAAAUGAAAUUGUAGAAUUGUAGAAUUGUAGAAAACUUUAAAUAUAUACAUACUUACAUUAUACGUUUAGGGAGAAAAGUUGUAAUUUUACAAAUUUUUCCUGAAUUCCGUCCAUCCAUCCAUCUUCUUCCUCUUAUCCUGGGUCGGAUCGUGGAGGCAGCAGAUGACGCAGGUCGUUCCAGACAUCCCUCCCACCAGCAACACUUUCCAGCUCUUCCUAUUGGAAGAGGGUCUACCCCGGGGUCUCCUCCCAGACAGACAUGUUUGGAAAACCUCCAAAGGAAAUCUUCCCAGAGGAAUCAGAUGUCCAAACCACCUCAGCUGCCUCCUUUCAUUGCAUAGGAGUGGUGGUUCUACUCUGAGCUUCCUCCAGAUGUCUGAGCUUCUCAGACACUACCCAGAACACAUGACCAUAGGUGAGGGUUGGAACGUAGAUGGAUGGUAAACUGAGAUCUUCUCCUUGUUGCUCUGCUCCCUCUUCACCACGAUGGUUUGAUACUAUGCCGUCAUUACUGCUGACGCUGCACCAAUCCUCCUGUCCAUCUCUCGAUCCAUUUUCCCAUCACUCGUGAACAAGAUCCCGAGAUACUUGAACUACUUCAUUUGGGGAAGCAACUCCCCCCAACCCAGAGGGAACAAUCCACUGUUUCCAUCAGAGGACCGUGGCCUCAGACUUGGAGGUUCUGAUCCUCAUCUCCACUGCUUUGUACUUGGCCACAAACCGCUCCAGUGCUGCUGAAGGUCUGAGGAACCAACAGAACCACAUCAUCUGCAAAACGCUGAGAUGUGAUCCUGAGGUCUCCAAACCAGAUACCCUCCUCACCCCGACUGAUCCUUGAGAUCCAUGAACACCAUGAACAGGAUCAGAGACAAGCGACACCCCUGGAGGAGUCCAACACCCACUGGAAACAUGUCUGACUUUGUAUGUGGACACAGCUCUCACUUUGGUUGUUCAGGGACCAAAUGUCUUGUAUCAGAGAGCCCGGUACCCCAUACUCCCUCAGUAUCCCCCACAGAGCCCCUCAGGGGGCACGGUCAUAGACCUUCUUCAGAUCCACAAAACACAUGUGGACUGGCAUUGGUUCGGUAACAUACAAUCUCUCAAAAUAUCUGGCGAGCAUCAUAAAACCUCUCCUGGCCAACACAGAUCAGCAUUGCAAAAACUCCAAAGAACUGGUAAAAGACCUCAGAAACAUAAAAGUUGGAAAAGACAAGGUUUUCAUAUCUCAUGAUGUAGUAUCAUUAUUCACCCGAACUCCAGUAGAAGCCACACUAGACUUAAUUCAUAAACAAUUGACAACAGACAAAACAUUCAAAAAACGUACAAAACUCUCUGUACAGGACGUCUCCCAGCUGCUCCGGUUUAUUGCCGAAUCCAAAUAUUUCCAAUUUCGCAGUGUAAUUUACAGACAGAAGGAAGGUUUUGCCAUGGGGGACCCUCUGUCGGCGAUCAUGUGUGGUGUUUUCAUGGAGGACCUGGAGGAAAAAGCAAUAACAUCUGCACCCGAGCACUGCCGACCGACUUUGUGGAAACGCUACGUUGACGACGUAUUGGAAAAAGUAAAAUCAGGACACACACAACAGAUCACAGACCACCUCAACACCAUAGACCACACCGGACAGAUCAAAUUCAGGAGGAAUAGCUGUCCUGGACAUAAACAUCGCACACACAGACGAUGGCGAUAUGAAAGUAAAAAUCUACAGGAAACCAACAUCCACUGACCAGUAUUUAUUAUGGACGUCAGAACAUCCAACUGCACACAAGAUGUCAGUAAUAAGAACUCUAUAUGAUCAAGCACAAUUGAUCACUGAGGAGGAAGACAAGAAAGAGGAGGAAAAACACAUCCAAACCGCACUCACCAGAUGCCAAUAUCAAAAACGGGCAAUAAAAAAGGGACGACAGCAGGUGAAGCAGAGGGAGCACAAGAAACUGGAAAAAAGAAACUCAACAUCAAAGCCGUACACAGGGGAACAGUCACAUUGUCGUACAUCAGAGGCACAACUGAAUGAAUCCAGAGGGCCAUGAAAAAACAUCACAUUAGCACUCCAGUCAAAUCUUUUAAAAAACUCAGACAUCUCCUGAUACACCCAAAGGACAAAGUCAACCCAAACAGCAAAUGUGACGUUAUAUAUGAGAUCCCAAGCCAUUCUUGCAAUAAAACAUACAUUGGAGAGACAGGACGCCCUUUUAUCGUACGAAAGACAGAACAUCAAAAAGAAUGUGAAAAGGAAAUGGCGAAAAGACAAACAAGAUCAACAGAAGAACAGUCACUGCAAGAACACAUGAAAUCAGCGAUCACGGACCAGUGCAAACAAGAGAACCCUAUUAUGAACUGGGAGAAGGCCAAAAUCAUCAGCACAGAAGCGAACAGACAUCAACGUUGGAUAAUGGAGGCAGUGGAGAUCCGGAAACGGUCCCAAACGGUCAUACUUUCACACACAUGUAGUGACAGUGUCGACCUGUCAAAGUUUGACAGGUCAACACCGCCCCAGUGAACAUCAGCUGAUUUUUAACUACACACCACCUGACGAAGAUGGAAGGCUCCGUCAACAUGUCAGGUAUGUUUUUGACAAAAUUACGUGACUGAUCACAAAAAAAAAGGUUUUAAACGCAUAUGGACUGGCAGGUAGAACUCCCAUGACCCCC
Long non-coding RNA from Acanthochromis polyacanthus (spiny chromis), 2851 nucleotides. RefSeq lists it as uncharacterized. Lineage: Eukaryota; Metazoa; Chordata; Actinopteri; Pomacentridae. The transcript is spliced from 2 exons. The record is from RefSeq and is a predicted model, not a curated record.